GAUGAAGAACGCAGCGAAAUGCGAUAAGUAAUGCGAAUUGCAGAAUUCCAGUGAGUCAUCGAAUCUUUGAACGCACAUUGCGCCCUUUGGUAUUCCGAAGGGCAUGCCUGUUCGAGCGUCAUUAUCACCCCUCAAGCCCUCGGCUUGGUGUUGGACGGUUUGGUGGAGGCCCCCUCGGGGGUUCCUGCCCCUCCCAAAGACAAUGACGGCGGCCUCGUUGGACCCCCGGUACACUGAGUUCUUCACGGGACACGUAUCGGACACAUGGGUUUACGGGACACGGUCUGCCUCCCCUCAGGGAGAAUCUUUCUAAGGUUGACCUCGGAUCAGGUAGGGAUACCCGCUGAACUUAAGCAUAUCAAUAAGCGGAGGU
Molecule: unclassified non-coding RNA, 373 nt
Filed under: soil metagenome
Description: partial contains 5.8S ribosomal RNA, internal transcribed spacer 2, and large subunit ribosomal RNA
Rfam family: 5.8S ribosomal RNA (bases 1-121)
Source: RNAcentral